Long non-coding RNA from Gopherus flavomarginatus (Mexican gopher tortoise), 349 nucleotides. RefSeq lists it as uncharacterized. NCBI's taxonomy places the organism in Eukaryota, Metazoa, Chordata, Testudines, Testudinidae. The transcript has 2 exons. The record is from RefSeq and is a predicted model, not a curated record.
GGUUAUCUGCCGCUCCCCCAAGCUGACAGGCCGCGCAAGCGCACAUGCGAACUCCAGCUCGGAGCCGAGGCGCAGGAGCCAGACACUGUCGCCUUCCAACUUCAAGACCAUAGGCACUCCUUACGUUCCCUUAUGUCUUCAUUGGAGCCAUGCAGUACCUCCCAGAACAUGUUGUCUUUGCUGCAUCUUGGGUGCUUUCUUAUCUGGUGGAGUCGCUCGUCCACUGUGUGUGUGGAGUGUUCCUGAAGGCCACAUCUGCCGAAGCACAAGGGACAAUGCACAGAAGCAGAGUUGUUAAAUUCACGCACAAUGUUGAAACAUUUCAGUUAAAUACACCUUUUGCAACAUA